RNAcentral lists this unclassified non-coding RNA (157 nucleotides) under uncultured Ascomycota. RNAcentral describes it as "sequence contains ITS1". Lineage: Eukaryota; Fungi; Ascomycota. The record is from RNAcentral.
CAGAGAUCAUGCCCUCACGGGUAGACCUCCCACCCUGUGUUAUUUACUAUUGUUGCUUUGGCAGGCCGCCUUCGGGCUCCCGGCUCCGGCUGGGGUGCGCCUGCCAGAGGACCCCCAACUCUGUGUUUAGUGUCGUCUGAGUACUAUCUAAUAGUUA